Molecule: small RNA, 30 nt
Filed under: Bombyx mori (domestic silkworm)
Lineage: Eukaryota; Metazoa; Arthropoda; Insecta; Lepidoptera; Bombycidae
Description: ovarian small RNA-5450
Source: RNAcentral
GGCCAGGCAGCGCUCCAAACGCGCGACCUC